This 685-nucleotide long non-coding RNA is filed under the name Malus domestica (apple). Its description in RNAcentral is "long non-coding RNA (MDOM_LNC001223)". The record is from RNAcentral. Lineage: Eukaryota; Viridiplantae; Streptophyta; Magnoliopsida; Rosales; Rosaceae.
AUAUGUAAAGAAACCAAACUCUGAUCCUGAGUUUCGUAUAUACUUUUCAAAGGAAUGGUACGAGGCCUUGCGUUUAUCUGUGAGGAAUUUCUUUAGUGAGAUCUUCAAUGGUACUCAUAUCCUUCAAAAUUGUUUUUUAUUUACAUUUUUGUAUAUGUUGCGUCCAACUCCAUAGACUUUUGAUGUUAUCAGAAUUUCAUAGCUACCAUACGAAAACCAGUUUUGUUUGUACCAACCAUGCUCUAAUUUAUUUUGAGUUUGUAUAUUUCAAGUGAAAACGAGGUUAGUUUUGCAUUGGCUUUCAGAAUCUUGGUUCCAGCAGGAAGCCAUUUCCGCAAGAAUUGAUGGGGAAGGCAUGGUUGUGUGUGUGCAGUUUGUGGGGUUACCCGGUCAGGAAUGGGUUACUGAGGUAGGUAUGGAAGAGUUUUGACUUCUCUGUUUCCUCCCUUGAUUCAACAGGUAAUGCACUGUUUCCUCCCUUGAUCCUAUUAUGCUUUUGCUGCUGUAUUUUGAGUUUGAAGAAAAUGCCCUUAACUAAACCACGCAUGCCAGCCCUUUUGAAAAUCAGUUCAGAGAAGACUACUGUCAACCGUCUGAAAAAAGACAUCAAGCUACUCAAUCUCAAGCUGUCAGAACUUCAGGCUUUGUUGGAGGAAAAAGAUGGUGAAUUAUGCCAGUUAAGAAG